AACCUUAUGGACCUGCGGGCGUAUACCUGCGGAGGGAUCAUUAAUGAAUGACAAGUCGGCCUUCUGUGCUGGUGGGUCUCCCACAUGUGCACGUCGGUCGCAAAUCCACACACCUGUGCACCUUUGACUUUGGGAUCCGCUCGUUUAUCGAGCAGCUGGUCAUUUGCUUGGCCUGGGUCUCAGAGUAAUUUUUACACACUCUGAAUGUAAUGGAAUGUCUUUUGUGCUUAACGCGCAUUA
Molecule: unclassified non-coding RNA, 240 nt
Filed under: soil metagenome
Description: partial contains 5.8S ribosomal RNA, internal transcribed spacer 2, and large subunit ribosomal RNA
Source: RNAcentral